This is a small nuclear RNA of Callithrix jacchus (white-tufted-ear marmoset), 107 nucleotides long. The record is from Ensembl. NCBI's taxonomy places the organism in Eukaryota, Metazoa, Chordata, Mammalia, Primates, Cebidae.
GUGCUCACUUCAACAGCACCUACACUAAAAUUGGAAUAAUACACAGAAUGUCAGCAUGGCCCCUGCGCAAGGACGACACACAAAUGUGUGCAGUGUUUUGUAUUUGU